RNAcentral lists this ribosomal RNA (1366 nucleotides) under Escherichia coli. RNAcentral's name for it is "partial 23S ribosomal RNA". It matches the Rfam family "Bacterial large subunit ribosomal RNA", at positions 375 to 1746 of the family's 2925-position model. The record is from RNAcentral. Lineage: Bacteria; Pseudomonadati; Pseudomonadota; Gammaproteobacteria; Enterobacterales; Enterobacteriaceae.
GUACACAAAAAUGCACAUGCUGUGAGCUCGAUGAGUAGGGCGGGACACGUGGUAUCCUGUCUGAAUAUGGGGGGACCAUCCUCCAAGGCUAAAUACUCCUGACUGACCGAUAGUGAACCAGUACCGUGAGGGAAAGGCGAAAAGAACCCCGGCGAGGGGAGUGAAAAAGAACCUGAAACCGUGUACGUACAAGCAGUGGGAGCACGCUUAGGCGUGUGACUGCGUACCUUUUGUAUAAUGGGUCAGCGACUUAUAUUCUGUAGCAAGGUUAACCGAAUAGGGGAGCCGAAGGGAAACCGAGUCUUAACUGGGCGUUAAGUUGCAGGGUAUAGACCCGAAACCCGGUGAUCUAGCCAUGGGCAGGUUGAAGGUUGGGUAACACUAACUGGAGGACCGAACCGACUAAUGUUGAAAAAUUAGCGGAUGACUUGUGGCUGGGGGUGAAAGGCCAAUCAAACCGGGAGAUAGCUGGUUCUCCCCGAAAGCUAUUUAGGUAGCGCCUCGUGAAUUCAUCUCCGGGGGUAGAGCACUGUUUCGGCAAGGGGGUCAUCCCGACUUACCAACCCGAUGCAAACUGCGAAUACCGGAGAAUGUUAUCACGGGAGACACACGGCGGGUGCUAACGUCCGUCGUGAAGAGGGAAACAACCCAGACCGCCAGCUAAGGUCCCAAAGUCAUGGUUAAGUGGGAAACGAUGUGGGAAGGCCCAGACAGCCAGGAUGUUGGCUUAGAAGCAGCCAUCAUUUAAAGAAAGCGUAAUAGCUCACUGGUCGAGUCGGCCUGCGCGGAAGAUGUAACGGGGCUAAACCAUGCACCGAAGCUGCGGCAGCGACGCUGAUGCGUUGUUGGGUAGGGGAGCGUUCUGUAAGCCUGCGAAGGUGUGCUGUGAGGCAUGCUGGAGGUAUCAGAAGUGCGAAUGCUGACAUAAGUAACGAUAAAGCGGGUGAAAAGCCCGCUCGCCGGAAGACCAAGGGUUCCUGUCCAACGUUAAUCGGGGCAGGGUGAGUCGACCCCUAAGGCGAGGCCGAAAGGCGUAGUCGAUGGGAAACAGGUUAAUAUUCCUGUACUUGGUGUUACUGCGAAGGGGGGACGGAGAAGGCUAUGUUGGCCGGGCGACGGUUGUCCCGGUUUAAGCGUGUAGGCUGGUUUUCCAGGCAAAUCCGGAAAAUCAAGGCUGAGGCGUGAUGACGAGGCACUACGGUGCUGAAGCAACAAAUGCCCUGCUUCCAGGAAAAGCCUCUAAGCAUCAGGUAACAUCAAAUCGUACCCCAAACCGACACAGGUGGUCAGGUAGAGAAUACCAAGGCGCUUGAGAGAACUCGGGUGAAGGAACUAGGCAAAAUGGUGCCGUAACUUCGGGAGAAGG